GGAGCGAGCGCGGGAGAGUCGCGCGCGCGGGAGCCGGCGCAGCAAAUAAGGGGCGCGGGAUUGCGUUUCGGCCAGCGCGCUGAAAUGGAAAUGGCGCGCGCGCCGUUUUUACGCGCCUGCUGGAGCUGCCCGCAGCGUUGCGCGCGCGCUAAAACUGCCUUUUUUGCGGCGCGGUGCUUGUAUAGCGCGCCUGUUGGAGAUGCUCUAAGAGUUUGGUUUAUCAGUCCAGUUAGUAAAUUUGCAAUUGCUUAAUGAUAACGUGGAGCCAUUUGCAGAAUCUAAGUCGUUAUACAUACAGGGUAAGCCCAUUUAUAGGUCACUGGACAACUCCCUAUCAAUAUGGAAAAUAAUCUUUAAUCCUUAACAGAUAGCAAUUCCCCUAAAAAAGGCAAUUUACCCCUGCUUUCCUAUCAAUAUGAUUCUUAUACACUUGUGGUUGGAUAUCCUUAUUCACUUGGAUGCUGGGGCCAACUACCUUGUGCAUAGCGUGCACAUAUAAUCGCUGGUGCUCGACAUGCAGCUCAUCCUCGAGCUGAAGGGCGGCCAUGGCUAGGACCCUUUGUAGCCCCAUGUUGAGGAGAUGUUGCGAAAGCUCGCGCAAACAUGAAAAGUGAAGCUCCGAUAUUAGAUUUUAUGGGACAACUUGACUAACAAUUCUGACAAAUAUUAAAACAAUCUGGCUUAUUGAUUGCUUUUGUUUAACUGAUAACCCUAUGGGAGGCAUGACAGUAUAAUUUGUUAAUCACAAAAGGUACAAGGAAGGCUUAUACUACUACCUCCGUUCUAAAAUAUAUGACGUUUUGGUAGGCUAGUUUAGCCUACCAAAACGUCAUAUAUUUUAGAAUGGAGGUAGUAUAUACGAAAAGGACGUGUGAUAUACAAAAGAGAGGGGGAAACAUGAGAUAUACAAGGGACUGUAUGAGGUUUAUUGAUUUCUUGGUUACAAUGAACAUGAUGGUAGCCCCUUUAUUAUAUGCGGGCCUCCUCCCAAGCAAUAUUUAAGAUGAAAUAGAUCAAAUCCCUAACAAAUAGCAAUUAGUCCUCACUUUCCUAACAGUAAGAUCCUUAUCCAUAUGUGGUUGGAUUCUUGGAUGCAAGGGCUGGCUGCCUUGUGCAUAGCAUGCAAACAACAAAGAGUAGCGAGCGACUUUGGGAACAUUGAAGUUCACGCGCNNNNN
RNAcentral lists this long non-coding RNA (1178 nucleotides) under Hordeum vulgare. RNAcentral's name for it is "long non-coding RNA (HVUL_LNC007689)". The stretch from base 770 to 856 matches the Rfam family "MIR1120/MIR1122 microRNA precursor family". The record is from RNAcentral. Lineage: Eukaryota; Viridiplantae; Streptophyta; Magnoliopsida; Poales; Poaceae.